RNAcentral lists this ribosomal RNA (460 nucleotides) under uncultured bacterium. RNAcentral's name for it is "partial 16S ribosomal RNA". It matches the Rfam family "Bacterial small subunit ribosomal RNA", at positions 338 to 795 of the family's 1533-position model. The record is from RNAcentral.
CCUACGGGAGGCAGCAGUGAGGAAUAUUGGUCAAUGGGCGGAAGCCUGAACCAGCCAAGUCGCGUGAGGGAUUAAGGCCCUGCGGGUCGUAAACCUCUUUUGCCGGGGAGCAGUGGUCCGGACGAGUCCGGGCCGGGAGAGUACCCGGAGAAAAAGCAUCGGCUAACUCCGUGCCAGCAGCCGCGGUAAUACGGGGGAUGCGAGCGUUAUCCGGAUUUAUUGGGUUUAAGGGGUGCGUAGGCGGGCAUUUAAGCCGGCGGUCAAAUGUCGGGGCUCAACCCCGGCCUGCCGGUGGAACUGGGUGCCUUGAGUGGGCGAGAAGUAGGCGGAAUGCGUGGUGUAGCGGUGAAAUGCAUAGAUAUCACGCAGAACCCCGAUUGCGAAGGCAGCAUACCGGCGCCCGACUGACGCUGAGGCACGAAAGUGCGGGUAUCGAACAGGAUUAGAUACCCGAGUAGUC